Oncorhynchus tshawytscha (Chinook salmon) is the source of this 398-nucleotide long non-coding RNA. Lineage: Eukaryota; Metazoa; Chordata; Actinopteri; Salmoniformes; Salmonidae. The record is from Ensembl.
AUUGUGGUGAAUGAUCCCAAAUAAACUACAAUAAGUCUGAAUAAAUAGAGAGGAAAUGGGAAGAAGGGGAUGGAGGAAGAAAGAGAGAUGGAGAAAGAGGAUGGAGAAAGAGAGGUGUAGAGAGAGAUGAAAGGUAUAGAGAGAGAGGUGUAGAAAGAGAGAUGAAAGAGAGGGAGAAAGGUGUAGAGAGAGGUGUAGAGAGCGAGAUGAAAGAGAGGGAGAAAGGUGUAGAGAGAGGUGUAGAGAGAGGUGCAGAAAGAGAGAUGAAAGAGAGGGAGAAAGGUGUAAAGAGAGAGGUGUAGAGAGAGAGGUGUAGAGAGAGAGGUGUAGAGAGAGAGAUGAAAGAGAGGGAGAAAGGUGUAGAGAGAGGUGUAGAAAGAGAGAUGAAAGAGAAAGAG